RNAcentral lists this long non-coding RNA (1841 nucleotides) under Salmo salar (Atlantic salmon). RNAcentral's name for it is "lncRNA (ENSSSAG00000083649.1)". Lineage: Eukaryota; Metazoa; Chordata; Actinopteri; Salmoniformes; Salmonidae. The record is from RNAcentral.
CUGCACACUGAAUCACACCACUGCCUCACUGCAUACUGAACCACACCUCACUGCAUACUGAAUCACACCACUGGCUCACUGCAUACUGAAUCACACCACUGCCUCACUGCAUACUGAACCACACCUCACUGCAUACUGAAUCACACCACUGGCUCACUGCAUACUGAACCACACCUCACUGCAUACUGAAUCACACCACUGGCUCACUGCAUACUGAAUCACACCACUGCCUCACUGCAUACUGAACCACACCUCACUGCAUACUGAAUCACACCACUGGCUCACUGCAUACUGAACCACACCACUGCCUCACUGCAUACUGAAUCACACUGGGGACAUUUUAGUCCUUUUGGGAUGAUGUAUUCUAUCAAUGAGGCCCAAGGAGUUAUCAGUUUGUUUAUUGAUUUGCUCUCUAGAUUGUGGAAACAUAACUCCAGUUCCAUCGUAGUUUAUUAGUGGUGAUUACUGAUUAAUGAGCUGUUAUUAUUAGCAGAGUAAUGAUGAUUAUGAUAGGUAGGUGUUUGUUCUGCGCCCUGUUGAAGGUGCCAUCUGUACACAAAGCUCGCAACCCAUAUGGCACCCUAUUCCCUUUAUAGUGCACUACUUUUUGAACAAGGGGGCAUAGGGCUUUGGUCAACAGUUGUGCACUAUAUACAGAAUAGUGUGUCGCCUGCAUACAAAUAGAGACAUUAAGGGGAACUACUAGGUAGUCAUUUGAUUGAUAUUUCGUCCUUGAUUUAUCCAGUUAACGGUUCAUGUAACUCUUCUCAUUGUGAGUUAUGGAAAUGGUCAUUCCAUAGAAGGCUGGUAUUGUUUUGGGCUGUUUCAGGGAUAGGAGGCAGGUAGGAAAGAGAGGAGGCAGGUAGGAAGGAGAGGAGGCAGGUAGGAAGGAGAAGAGGCAGGUAUGAGGUGUAUAGCAUGCAUGAGAGAGAGAGAGAGAGAGAGAGAGAGAGAGAGAGAGAGAGAGAGAGAGAGAGAGAGAGAGAGAGAGAGAGAGAGAGAGAGAUGAACCGACAGAGAAAGAGAGGGAUGGUAGUAGUCUGGUAAUGGGUGAACAGGUGUGUGUGUGUGAACACAGCUGGAAUGGGGGAGUGAUGGGGGUGAGAGAGAACCAUGGGUAAUUAUUUGUAAUGCACCUGCCACACUUAAAAUGCUGCCACAAACACCGUUCCAAUCCAGGCUGGGGAAAAAAAAUAUUUUGGGGUUUUUGGUUUAUACUGUGGAAAACACAACUGUAUUCUACAUUGGUUCAGUUCUGUCAAAUCAAAUGCCCCAUUUCCCUGAAGGUUUUCUUUAAGACACAAACAGGGGUUACGUUCCAAAUAGCACCCUAUUCCCUACAUAAUGCACUACUUUAGACCAGAACUCUAUGGGCCCUGGUUAAAAGUAGUGCACUGUAAAUGGAACUGUCCCAGAGACUGGCCACAGAGAGACUGUGAAAGCAGAGGAGGGUUGGAAGCACAUUAAAGUUGUUGAGAAAUCGGGUUGUGUAUGAUAGACGGACAAGAGGUUCCAUUCACUGCUAUGGCAAACACACACACACACACACACACACACACACACACACACACACACACACACACACACACACACACACACACACACACACACACACACACACACACACACACAGUCUGGCCUAUUGACUGCUAUAGCAACACUGUAUGAGAGUUACAUGACAAUUUAAUGACCUAGCUAUGUCAUAGUUGAAUAACUUACUAUGUCACUAUAUCAGAAGUCUGAAACAGGCACUGCAUCGCCACUAGAGACUCUGGGUUACAGUCCAGGCUUAGUCGGAGCCAGCUGCGACCGGGAGACCCAUGGGGAGGCACACAACUGGC